RNAcentral lists this transfer RNA (90 nucleotides) under Alphaproteobacteria bacterium. RNAcentral describes it as "tRNA-Ser". It matches the Rfam family "tRNA". From Rfam's summary of the family: Transfer RNA (tRNA) molecules are approximately 80 nucleotides in length. Their secondary structure includes four short double-helical elements and three loops (D, anti-codon, and T loops). Lineage: Bacteria; Pseudomonadati; Pseudomonadota; Alphaproteobacteria. The record is from RNAcentral.
GGAGGGGUGGCAGAGUGGUUGAUCGCUCCGGUCUUGAAAACCGGCGUGCCCGCAAGGGUACCGUGGGUUCGAAUCCCACCCCCUCCGCCA